This 743-nucleotide ribosomal RNA is filed under the name uncultured bacterium. Its description in RNAcentral is "bacterial SSU rRNA". It matches the Rfam family "Bacterial small subunit ribosomal RNA", at positions 94 to 823 of the family's 1533-position model. The record is from RNAcentral.
AGCGGCGGACGGGUGAGUAACACGUGGGUAACCUGCCCAAGAGACUGGGAUAACACCUGGAAACAGAUGCUAAUACCGGAUAACAACACUAGACGCAUGUCUAGAGUUUGAAAGAUGGUUCUGCUAUCACUCUUGGAUGGACCUGCGGUGCAUUAGCUAGUUGGUAAGGUAACGGCUUACCAAGGCAAUGAUGCAUAGCCGAGUUGAGAGACUGAUCGGCCACAUUGGGACUGAGACACGGCCCAAACUCCUACGGGAGGCAGCAGUAGGGAAUCUUCCACAAUGGACGAAAGUCUGAUGGAGCAACGCCGCGUGAGUGAAGAAGGGUUUCGGCUCGUAAAGCUCUGUUGGUAGUGAAGAAAGACAGAGGUAGUAACUGGCCUUUAUUUGACGGUAAUUACUUAGAAAGUCACGGCUAACUACGUGCCAGCAGCCGCGGUAAUACGUAGGUGGCAAGCGUUGUCCGGAUUUAUUGGGCGUAAAGCGAGUGCAGGCGGUUCAAUAAGUCUGAUGUGAAAGCCUUCGGCUCAACCGGAGAAUUGCAUCAGAAACUGUUGAACUUGAGUGCAGAAGAGGAGAGUGGAACUCCAUGUGUAGCGGUGGAAUGCGUAGAUAUAUGGAAGAACACCAGUGGCGAAAGCGGCUCUCUGGUCUGCAACUGACGCUGAGGCUCGAAAGCAUGGGUAGCGAACAGGAUUAGAUACCCUGGGUAGUCCAUGCCGUAAACGAUGAGUGCUAAGUGU